RNAcentral lists this non-coding RNA (149 nucleotides) under Stegodyphus mimosarum. RNAcentral's name for it is "eukaryotic small subunit ribosomal RNA". It matches the Rfam family "Eukaryotic small subunit ribosomal RNA", at positions 1667 to 1823 of the family's 1831-position model. Lineage: Eukaryota; Metazoa; Arthropoda; Arachnida; Araneae; Eresidae. The record is from Rfam by way of RNAcentral.
CACCGCCCUUCGCUACUACCGAUUGAAUGAUUUAGUGAGGUCUUCGGACUGGCUUUCGGGUCGCAUCAGCGUGCCAAAAAGAUGACCAAAUUUGAUCAUUUAAGAAAAAGUAAAAAUCGUACCGGUUUCCGUACGUGAACCUGUGGAAG